Long non-coding RNA from Rosa chinensis, 436 nucleotides. RefSeq lists it as uncharacterized. The transcript has 3 exons. NCBI's taxonomy places the organism in Eukaryota, Viridiplantae, Streptophyta, Magnoliopsida, Rosales, Rosaceae. The record is from RefSeq and is a predicted model, not a curated record.
AGUGAAUUUCACUAUCUCUGAGGAUUUCUCCGACAUAGAGAAAACGAGGAGGCGAAAAAAAAAAAAAAAACAAAGAGAGAAGAGAACGUACUGCAGAAGAGGGAAGAAAGGAAAGAGGAAUCGAGAGGAGACGAAGAUAUCAAGGCUGGGCAGUGGAAGAGGCGAGUUUUGCAGUAGAAUCUCAACCAAAACAGGAAGUUCUUAAUAGGAAGUUGCGAUACAAAGCUCCUAGAACUGUUGGAUUGUAGAAAUUGCUGAACAUCGAUGCUCUUUCAAAUAAAGUUCAUGUAUGCCGUUAUUGAUUUAAAAAAAAUUUGUAUUAGUACAAGCAUAUUGUGCUUCAUUACAUAUAUAUAUGGAACAACUGCAAGUUCAUUCAACCAUUUUUCAAAAAUCAGAAUGAAGAGGUGUGCGAGCACCGCACUUCCGCACUCGC